Chelonia mydas (Green sea turtle) is the source of this 979-nucleotide long non-coding RNA. RefSeq lists it as uncharacterized. NCBI's taxonomy places the organism in Eukaryota, Metazoa, Chordata, Testudines, Cheloniidae. The transcript is spliced from 3 exons. The record is from RefSeq and is a predicted model, not a curated record.
AGUAGGCGCAGAUCGCUAAGGGGCUUGUGUAGCGCUUGGCGCGGCUGAGCGGGGCCUGCGGGGGAGAAGGAGGGCGGAGCUGGUGGCUGUGUUGGGUCCCCGACCCAGGGCUGCGUUUAUAGCCCAGCCAUCCCCACCCCGGUCCCGGAGCAGCCAAUCCCCCGCGUGCCAAGAAAGGACAGGCACCUCAGAGGAACAUCUAGAAGAGCUAGCUCUGAAACAGACGUCUCCUUGGGCCAACAUGACACCCCUAUGCCUCAUUUUCAAUGGACUAGGCACAUGGCCCCCCAAGACGUCCAGCGAGCAGGGGUAGGGCGUGGGCAGGGCUCACCAUCCCGAGAGGCCACGCUGCCAUAGUUGCAAGCAAUGUGGAGAAAGGUGUGAGGGGAACAUGACCAAGUCUGCAGCCAGGCACCUUCUGAGGGCAUUUGUGCAUCAAGGAUCCCCAGACCGAGUCCCUGAAGCAGGACGACUUGCAACCACGUCCUCUGUGUCCUAGGGUGCAGGACAACACGAGCUUGUCAGCUGGUGGUUCGAGAGCACGUCACGUGCCAUUGCAUCGACGCACUGACUAUUAGACAAUCCAGCACCGAAGCGUAACUUCAACCAUGGGCGCCGUCCUGCUCUGUGGAAAGUGACUCUCAGGCUUCCGUGCCUGGAGUGUGGGGGCUGGGGAAACGCCGCUGCUCGGGGUGGAGGUCUGGAGCACAAUUCCUAGGGCGCCGUGUGUUAAAUCUUUAAGAUUAGUAUUUUUAUAUUGCCAGAGGCGUCCACCAAGUUGGGGCCCUGUUGUGCUAGGAACUAAAUUGAUACGUAGUAAAUGAUGGUCCCAGGUGUUUACAGUCUAAAGCCAGGAUACAAGAGGUGCUUAGGCAAACAACGGGGCAGGAUGUCAGCGGGGCGGACGGCUGUGGGGUGUUUCUUUUAGAAUGGAGUCCAAAUUAAUAAAUAAAGUCCCUUGGCAUAGCCUACCAAGGAU